GUGCUCUCUUGAGGAACACAUAUACUAAAACUGGAAGGACACCAAAGAAGAUUGACAAGGCCCUGUACAAAAAAGUCAUGAAAAUUCUUGCAGCAUUCCACAUUCAU
RNAcentral lists this small nuclear RNA (107 nucleotides) under Chinchilla lanigera (long-tailed chinchilla). The record is from RNAcentral. Lineage: Eukaryota; Metazoa; Chordata; Mammalia; Rodentia; Chinchillidae.